UCUAGAGGUUUCAAGAGAAACAAAACGAAAUAACAAGAGGAAGAAAGAAGAGAAGAGAAGAGAAACUUAGGCUAGAAACAAGGAAAGAGCUACGAUUUUGGGAGGAGAAAAAGGCAGCCCAAAACGUUACCAAACAGUCCCUAAGUUUCAGCUGCGCUAUAGGAAAUUCCGAGGCAAGUUUUGGCGAGUUUUGGUGAAUUUCGGGAAAGGUUCAAGAGACGACGAGGCGAGCAUAGUUAAGAGUAAUCCGUAAGAGGUACGUAAAGCGAACCUUUCUUUCUUUUGGCAUGUUUUUGACAUAAGUAU
Molecule: long non-coding RNA, 306 nt
Organism: Solanum dulcamara
Lineage: Eukaryota; Viridiplantae; Streptophyta; Magnoliopsida; Solanales; Solanaceae
Exons: 3
Source: RefSeq, a predicted model, not a curated record